Molecule: ribosomal RNA, 486 nt
Filed under: uncultured bacterium
Lineage: Bacteria
Description: bacterial SSU rRNA
Rfam family: Bacterial small subunit ribosomal RNA
Source: RNAcentral
AAUGAACGUUGGCGGCGUGGAUUAGGCAUGCAAGUCGCGCGAGAAGCCCCGCAAGGGGUGGAAAGCGGCGUAAGGGAGAGGAACACGUGGUUCAUCUACCCUCAGGUCCGGGAUAGCUGCGGGAAACUGCAGGUAAUACCGGAUAACAUCUCCGGAUCAAAGGUGUGAUUCCGCCUGAGGAUGAGACCGCGUCCUAUUAGCUUGUUGGUGGGGUAACGGCCUACCAAGGCAAUGAUGGGUACCGGGUGUGAGAGCACGACCCGGCUCACUGGGACUGAGACACUGCCCAGACACCUACGGGUGGCUGCAGUCGAGGAUCUUCGGCAAUGGGCGCAAGCCUGACCGAGCGACGCCGCGUGCGGGAUGAAGGCCUUCGGGUUGUAAACCGCUGUCAGAGGGGAUGAAAUGCGUGAGGGUUCUCUCUCACGUUUGACAUAGCCUCAAAGGAAGUACGGGCUAAGUUCGUGCCAGCAGCCGCGGUAACAC